Molecule: ribosomal RNA, 469 nt
Filed under: uncultured Desulfomonile sp.
Lineage: Bacteria; Pseudomonadati; Thermodesulfobacteriota; Desulfomonilia; Desulfomonilales; Desulfomonilaceae
Description: bacterial SSU rRNA
Rfam family: Bacterial small subunit ribosomal RNA
Source: RNAcentral
UGUCCUACGGGCGGCUGCAGUGAGGAAUAUUGCGCAAUGGAGGAAACUCUGACGCAGCAACGCCGCGUGGGUGAAGAAGGCCCUCGGGUUGUAAAGCCCUGUCAGGUGGGAAGAAACCUCGAUAGGUGAAUAGUCUAUCGAUCUGACGGUACCACCAAAGGAAGCACCGGCUAACUCCGUGCCAGCAGCCGCGGUAAGACGGAGGGUGCAAGCGUUGUUCGGAAUUACUGGGCGUAAAGAGCGUGUAGGCGGUUUGAUAAGUCGAGUGUGAAAGGCCGAGGCUCAACUGCGGAAGUGCAGUCGAAACUGUCAGGCUUGAGUACGGGAGAGGGAAGUGGAAUUCCUGGUGUAGAGGUGAAAUUCGUAGAUAUCAGGAGGAACACCGGUGGCGAAGGCGGCUUCCUGGACCGAUACUGACGCUGAGACGCGAAAGCGUGGGGAGCAAACAGGAUUAGAUACCCUUGUAGUC